CCAGACUCCUACGGGAGGCAGCAGUGGGGAAUAUUGCACAAUGGGGGGAAACCCUGAUGCAGCGACGCCGCGUGAGCGAAGAAGUACCUCGGUAUGUAAAGCUCUAUCAGCAGGGAAGAAGAUGACGGUACCUGACCAAGAAGCUCCGGCUAAAUACGUGCCAGCAGCCGCGGUAAUACGUAGGGGGCAAGCGUUAUCCGGAUUUACUGGGUGUAAAGGGAGCGUAGACGGCAGUGCAAGUCCGGAGUGAAAGCCCGGGGCUCAACCCUGGGACUGCUCUGGAAACUGUAAAGCUGGAGUGCGGGAGGGGCAGGCGGAAUUCCUGGUGUAGCGGUGAAAUGCGUAGAUAUCAGGAGGAACACCGGCGGCGAAGGCGGCCUGCUGGACCGUAACUGACGUUGAGGCUCGAAAGCGUGGGGAGCAAACAGGAUUAGAUACCCCAGUAAG
Molecule: ribosomal RNA, 447 nt
Filed under: uncultured bacterium
Lineage: Bacteria
Description: bacterial SSU rRNA
Rfam family: Bacterial small subunit ribosomal RNA
Source: RNAcentral